UACGUAGGGGGCAAGCGUUAUCCGGAAUCACUGGGCGUAAAGGGUGCGUAGGCGGUCUUACAAGUCAGGGGUGAAAGGCUACGGCUCAACCGUAGUAAGCCUUUGAAACUGUAGGACUUGAGUGCAGGAGAGGAAAGUGGAAUUCCUAGUGUAGCGGUGAAAUGCGUAGAUAUUAGGAGGAACACCAGUGGCGAAGGCGACUUUCUGGACUGUAACUGACGCUGAGGCACGAAAGUGGGGGGAGC
This 245-nucleotide ribosomal RNA is filed under the name uncultured Alkaliphilus sp. RNAcentral describes it as "partial 16S ribosomal RNA". It matches the Rfam family "Bacterial small subunit ribosomal RNA", at positions 524 to 769 of the family's 1533-position model. Lineage: Bacteria; Bacillati; Bacillota; Clostridia; Peptostreptococcales; Natronincolaceae. The record is from RNAcentral.